Molecule: ribosomal RNA, 443 nt
Filed under: uncultured bacterium
Lineage: Bacteria
Description: partial 16S ribosomal RNA
Rfam family: Bacterial small subunit ribosomal RNA
Source: RNAcentral
CCUACGGGAGGCAGCAGUGGGGGAUAUUGGACAAUGGGGGAAACCCUGACCCAGCGACGCCGCGUGAGUGAAGAAGUAUUUCGGUUUGUAAAGCGCUGUCAGCAGGGAAGAAAGAAAUGACGGUACCUAACCAAGAAGCCCCGGCUAAAUACGUGCCAGCAGCCGCGGUAAUACGUAGGGGGCAAGCGUUAUCAGGAAUUACUGGGUGUAAAGGGAGCGUAGACGGUUAAGUAAGUCUGGUGUGAAAGGCCGGGGCCCAACCCCGGGACUGCUCUGGAAACUAUUGAACUUGAGUGCAGGAGAGGUAAGCGGAAUUCCUAGUGUAGCGGUGAAAUGCGUAGAUAUUAGGAGGAACACCAGUGGCGAAGGCGGCUUACUGGACUGUAACUGACGUUGAGGCUCGAAAGCGUGGGGAGCAAACAGGAUUAGAUACCCCAGUAGUC